GUUGUUGCCUGCAGAGCUUAUUAUAUGUUGUUGCACCGAGAGAUCGCAAAGCUGAACCAUCUGCCUCUUUAGUGGGAAGUCGCUGGGUAGAAACAGAAGCGCGGCAGAGCUGAGGAAACCAGACAAACAUGUGACCAUGGUGAUGCGGGGGUGGUUCUCCCGAGAUGCAGACGGACUCCGGACACAGCGUGCAGUUAUUUGGUCUCCUGCUUCAGUGUCAUGUGUGAGAAAUUACAAGACUCGCCUCACUAACCUCUCCAGUCCUCUGCAUCGUGGCAUCCGCUCUGGUUGUGCACACCCGCGCCUCACAAGUUGUGCCAAAUUCCCCACGAGCAC
Long non-coding RNA from Entelurus aequoreus (snake pipefish), 336 nucleotides. RefSeq lists it as uncharacterized. The transcript is spliced from 3 exons. NCBI's taxonomy places the organism in Eukaryota, Metazoa, Chordata, Actinopteri, Syngnathiformes, Syngnathidae. The record is from RefSeq and is a predicted model, not a curated record.